GAUCUAGGAUCAGGUCUAUUUCCUAGUGAAUACACCCCAUGGUGUUGAAUAGGAGGGUUGAUCUAGGAUCAGGUCUGUUUCCUAGUGAAUACACCCCAUGGUGUUGAAUAGGAGGGUUGAUCUAGGAUCAGGUCUGAUUCCUAGUGAAUACACCCCAUGGUGUUGAAUAGGAGUGUUGAUCUAGGAUCAGGUCUGUUUCCUAGUGAAUACACCCCAUGGUGUUGAAUAGGAGUGUUGAUCUAGGAUCAGGUCUGUUUCCUAGUGAAUACACCCCAUGGUGUUGAAUAGGAGGGUUGAUCUAGGAUCAGGUCUGUUUCCUAGUGAAUACACCCCAUGGUGUUGAAUAGGAGUGUUGAUCUAGGAUCAGGUCUGUU
RNAcentral lists this long non-coding RNA (374 nucleotides) under Salmo salar (Atlantic salmon). RNAcentral describes it as "lncRNA (ENSSSAG00000089664.1)". The record is from RNAcentral. Lineage: Eukaryota; Metazoa; Chordata; Actinopteri; Salmoniformes; Salmonidae.